UAGCCGCCGCGGUAAUACGUAGGCGGCAAGCGUUGUCCGGAAUUAUUGGGCGUAAAGGGCUCGCAGGCGGUUUCUUAAGUCUGAUGUGAAAGCCCCCGGCUCAACCGGGGAGGGUCAUUGGAAACUGGGAAACUUGAGUGCAGAAGAGGAGAGUGGAAUUCCACGUGUAGCGGUGAAAUGCGUAGAGAUGUGGAGGAACACCAGUGGCGAAGGCGACUCUCUGGUCUGAAACUGACGCUGUGGAGCGAAAGCGUGGGGAGCGAACAGGAUUAGAGACCCCCGUAGUCCCUGUCUCUUAUAC
This 301-nucleotide ribosomal RNA is filed under the name uncultured bacterium. RNAcentral's name for it is "partial 16S ribosomal RNA". It matches the Rfam family "Bacterial small subunit ribosomal RNA", at positions 509 to 807 of the family's 1533-position model. The record is from RNAcentral.